Molecule: ribosomal RNA, 255 nt
Filed under: uncultured bacterium
Lineage: Bacteria
Description: partial 16S ribosomal RNA
Rfam family: Bacterial small subunit ribosomal RNA
Source: RNAcentral
UACGUAGGGGGCAAGCGUUGUUCGGAAUUACUGGGCGUAAAGGGCGCGUAGGCGGCACGGCAAGUCGGGAGUGAAAGGCCUGGGCUCAACCGAGGAACUGCUUUCGAGACUGCCGAGCUAGAGUGCGGAAGGGGCAACCGGAAUUCCCAGUGUAGCGGUGAAAUGCGUAGAUAUUGAGAAGAACACCUGAGGCGAAAGGCGGGGUUGCUGGGCCGACACUGACGCUGAUGCGCGAAAGCGUGGGGAGCAAACGGG